This 407-nucleotide ribosomal RNA is filed under the name uncultured prokaryote. RNAcentral describes it as "bacterial SSU rRNA". It matches the Rfam family "Bacterial small subunit ribosomal RNA", at positions 355 to 776 of the family's 1533-position model. The record is from RNAcentral. RNAcentral also lists the same sequence under 1 other name.
UGGGGAAUAUUGCGCAAUGGGGGAAACCCUGACGCAGCAACGCCGCGUGAAGGAUGAAGGUUUUCGGAUUGUAAACUUCUUUGACGAGGGACGAAAUAAAUGACGGUACCUCGAAAACAAGCCACGGCUAACUACGUGCCAGCAGCCGCGGUAAUACGUAGGUGGCAAGCGUUGUCCGGAUUUACUGGGUGUAAAGGGCGCGUAGGCGGGAGAACAAGUCAGAUGUGAAAUGCUGAGGCUUAACCUCAGAGCUGCAUUUGAAACUGUACUUCUUGAGUAUCGGAGAGGCAGGCGGAAUUCCUAGUGUAGCGGUGAAAUGCGUAGAUAUUAGGAGGAACACCAGUGGCGAAGGCGGCCUGCUGGACGACAACUGACGCUGAGGCGCGAAAGCGUGGGGAGCAAACAGG